GUGCACAUGGGAGACUCCAGGUGCAGGAGAGGGGGAGGUGGACUUCCUCUUGGUCUUCCCAAGCCAUGAAACUUCCUGGCUUGGUGGUAACAGAAGAGUCUCCUCCAGGACGGACUAGCCAGUCCUAACACAGGACUAGCGUUGCUCUACCACGUCCAAGCCUCCUCUGAGAUUCUUCCUCCAUGCAACCACUUCCCCUGGGGCGUGGCCACCUCCCUGGAAGCCGCCAGCAUGCUCGGCUGGGCCCCCGCACUCUGGAGGCUUGAGAAUCUCUCUAUUUUUGAAUGACGUCCUUAUCCUCUGCCCCCAGGCUGGUAACCAAAGGUCUGGGGGUGGUGACGUGCUGGGAAUGGUGUAACUCGUGAGAUGGAGGCUGAAUGUGGAAAUACAUGAAUGUGCUUCUCUUCUCUCCA
RNAcentral lists this long non-coding RNA (413 nucleotides) under Homo sapiens (human). Its description in RNAcentral is "RAB17 divergent transcript, transcript variant 2 (RAB17-DT)". The record is from RNAcentral. Lineage: Eukaryota; Metazoa; Chordata; Mammalia; Primates; Hominidae.